Cyprinus carpio (common carp) is the source of this 261-nucleotide long non-coding RNA. RefSeq lists it as uncharacterized. The record is from RefSeq and is a predicted model, not a curated record. NCBI's taxonomy places the organism in Eukaryota, Metazoa, Chordata, Actinopteri, Cypriniformes, Cyprinidae. The transcript has 2 exons.
CCCCAUCCCCACGCAUUUGAGCCAAAUGCUGCUGCUGUGCGCCAGCGUUUGGAAGUGAUGCGUCGCUUGUAAAGAACAACAAAAGGACUGCAUCGGUGAGGACACGUCCACUGCUGGAGGGUUGAGAGCCGCGUGCCGUGGAGACGCUGGGUCCAGACGGCUGCUCAGCUGCAGCAUCGUAACCACUGGCCCCGCUGGAACACCCAGCAACUGAAAUAAAAUUGUUCUAUAUUAAUAAACUGUAAUUGUGUAGCCUGCAUA